Molecule: ribosomal RNA, 468 nt
Filed under: uncultured bacterium
Lineage: Bacteria
Description: partial 16S ribosomal RNA
Rfam family: Bacterial small subunit ribosomal RNA
Source: RNAcentral
GACGAACGCUGGCGGCGUGCUUAACACAUGCAAGUCGAACGGAAAGGCCCUGCUUUUGUGGGGUGCUCGAGUGGCGAACGGGUGAGUAACACGUGAGUAACCUGCCCUUGACUUUGGGAUAACUUCAGGAAACUGGGGCUAAUACCGGAUAGGAGCUCCUGCUGCAUGGUGGGGGUUGGAAAGUUUCGGCGGUUGGGGAUGGACUCGCGGCUUAUCAGCUUGUUGGUGGGGUAGUGGCUUACCAAGGCUUUGACGGGUAGCCGGCCUGAGAGGGUGACCGGCCACAUUGGGACUGAGAUACGGCCCAGACUCCUACGGGAGACAGCAGUGGGGAAUAUUGCACAAUGGGCGGAAGCCUGAUGCAGCAACGCCGCGUGCGGGAUGACGGCCUUCGGGUUGUAAACCGCUUUGGCCUGUGACGAAGCGUGAGUGACGGUAAUGGGUAAAGAAGCACCGGCUAACUACGUG